Molecule: non-coding RNA, 28 nt
Filed under: Rattus norvegicus (Norway rat)
Lineage: Eukaryota; Metazoa; Chordata; Mammalia; Rodentia; Muridae
Source: RNAcentral
GGCCUCUUCAGGACGUCUCUGCUGAUUG